CCUACGGGUGGCAGCAGUGGGGAAUAUUGGGCAAUGGGCGCAAGCCUGACCCAGCAACGCCGCGUGAAGGAAGAAGGCUUUCGGGUUGUAAACUUCUUUUGUCAGGGACGAAGCAAGUGACGGUACCUGUCGACUAAGCCACGGCUAACUACGUGCCAGCAGCCGCGGUAAUACGGAGGUGGCAAGCGUUAUCCGGAUUUACUGGGUGUAAAGGGCGUGUAGGCGGGGAAGCAAGUCAGAGGUGAAAACCACGGGCUCAACCUGUGGCCUGCAUUUGAUACUGUUUUUCUUGAGUGUUGGAGAGGCAAUCGGAAUGUCGGGUGUAGCGGUGAAAUGCGUAGAUAUACGAAGGAACACCAGUGGCGAAGGCGGAUUGCUAGACAGUAACUGACGCUGAGGCGCGAAAGCGUGGGGAGCAAACAGGAUUAGAUACCCCUGUAGUC
RNAcentral lists this ribosomal RNA (443 nucleotides) under uncultured bacterium. Its description in RNAcentral is "partial 16S ribosomal RNA". It matches the Rfam family "Bacterial small subunit ribosomal RNA", at positions 338 to 795 of the family's 1533-position model. The record is from RNAcentral.